UUUUUUUUUUUUUUUGCUUUUUGCCAAAAAUUUUAUUGUUUAGUGUUUGGGUCCAUACUGCUUUUAUGAGUUGUAAUACUCACCCCAAAGGUUUGCAGCUUCGUAUUUGAAGCUAGAGGCCCCGGAUGUAUUGGCAGGAACAAACAACUCCAGGUGUGUUGCCUUAAGAACUCUAACACUCACCACGGAGGUUUGUAGCUUCACUCGUGAACCAGCGAUACCAUGAACCCCCCAGAAGGCAGAAAUUGCUAACAUAUCUGCAUAUAGGAAGGAACAAACGGGGCGCGCUCCCGCACACGCCGCCUUUAAGAAGCUGCACCAUUCUCUGCAAGGGUCCACUGCUUUAUUCUGACCCAGCGUCUGUUCACCCCAUGGGGCCACGCCAUUCCAGGAGCCACAGGAAGCCAGCACUGCUAGGUUGACCUCAGUCCUUUAGCCAGGACACAGCUGUGGGCACUAUGCGGUUGCCGCUGGGUUCAAGGAUGUGACUGGGAAAAAGAAACACAGGACCACAGGAACGUCUGUGACCCAUGCUUUCUCUAAAGAAGGCAUCAGGGCUUCAAUAUUUAGAGGGGAAAAAAUGGGCAGGAGAGGAAAGAAAAAAGGGGAGGAUACGGUCACCUUCUCGCGAAGCUCUGAUGAGGGCUCCGUAAAUCCAUAUGCUGCCAUGGAAAGAACGGGGCAGACGGACGGUCACCUAUGCGUUCCUCUCCUGCUCAGCGAGCAUGCUUUUGACAGGAGGAAGAGCAAAUGGGGCAGUCACGCACGCAUUUGUCUCGGGUGAGGGAGAAAUGACGUCCAGUCCUGCCUUUGUCCUGUGCCUGUGAAGAUAAGCUGUGAAUUCACAUUGUCAGGGUGAAAUUCAACAGAACAUUGUUUUAGGGUAAAGAUCUUGGGGCCCACAGGGAGGUACCUUGUGAGAAAACUGAGGGAGGCCGCCUAGGGAGGUAUGUGGCCUUCUAUCUAUCUACUUAGGAACAAAGCAGGAGGCAGUUAACCCAAGGUUAACUUUUCCCAAUGGCUUAGUGAGUUUGGGGCCCCAAGAUUUUGAUUUUCUGUUUACAUGUUCUCAAAGAACCAGCUAUUGGCCUUAUUGAUUUGACUAUCUCCGUUGCAUCUUGUGUUCUAUUUUGUGUUUAUUAGCUCUUUCCCUCUACUUUCUUUGAGCUCAUUCUUUUGAGUUUCAUGCAUAGCUCAUGUUCAGUCUCUUUUCCUCUCUAACACAGGCACUUAAAGUCUACAUUUACCUUGAAGUGUUUCUUCAGCUGCAAGCCACAUUUUGAUAUAAAAUUUUUCAUUACUGUUCAGAUAUCAGUUUCUCUAAUGUUUGUUAAUAAUUUCUUUUUUGACCUAUGUGGUAUUCAGAAGUCUGUUUUAAAACUUCCAAAUGUUAGCCAGGCAUGGCUUACACCUGUAAUCCAGCCACUUUGGGAGGCUGAGGCAGGAGGAUCGCUUGAAGCCAAGAGUUCAAGACCAGUCUGGGCAACAUAGUGAGACUCUAUUUCUACAAAAAAUAAAUUUCCAAAUACAUGCAGGGUUUUAAAAGUUAUCUUCUUGUUACUAAUGUCUAAUAUAAUUUUACUGUGGUCAGAUAAUUUGAUACUAAUUUUUUAUUUCUUCAGACUUGUUUGUGGCUAGAAUGUGGUCAGUCUUCUAACUAAAGUCAGAAGGUUAUACAAAUUUCUGCCAGAUUAAGCUUGCUAAUGGUGCUUUUCAAAUUUUCUAUACAUUUGAUAAUUAUUUUGACUGCUUAAUCCAUCAAUAUUGAGAAAAAUGUGUUAAAAAUCUACUAGUAUGUUUAUGGAUUGCAAAUCCCAAACCCUAUAACUAAAAAAUUAUAUAGGUAAAACUAAAAAAUUAUAUCUAUUGAAGUUAUUAAUAUAUUA
This 1886-nucleotide long non-coding RNA is filed under the name Homo sapiens (human). Its description in RNAcentral is "HSALNT0331564". Lineage: Eukaryota; Metazoa; Chordata; Mammalia; Primates; Hominidae. The record is from RNAcentral.